Molecule: non-coding RNA, 47 nt
Filed under: Microbulbifer thermotolerans
Lineage: Bacteria; Pseudomonadati; Pseudomonadota; Gammaproteobacteria; Cellvibrionales; Microbulbiferaceae
Description: Guanidine-II sequence
Rfam family: Guanidine-II riboswitch aptamer (mini-ykkC)
About the family: Simpler in structure and has fewer highly conserved nucleotide positions than the ykkC-yxkD leader. Despite this each of its two stem-loop structures directly bind free guanidine.
Source: Rfam by way of RNAcentral
AAGUGAGGACGACCUCACCUCUCAAAUUUCAUCAGGGGACGGCCCCG